UACGUAGGUGGCAAGCGUUAUCCGGAAUUAUUGGGCGUAAGGCGCGCGUAGGCGGUUUUUUAAGUCUGAUGUGAAAGCCCACGGCUCAACCGUGGAGGGUCAUUGGAAACUGGAAAACUUGAGUGCAGAAGAGGAAAGUGGAAUUCCAUGUGUAGCGGUGAAAUGCGCAGAGAUAUGGAGGAACACCAGUGGCGAAGGCGACUUUCUGGUCUGUAACUGACGCUGAUGUGCGAAAGCGUGGGGAUCAAACAGGAUUAGAUAC
RNAcentral lists this ribosomal RNA (262 nucleotides) under uncultured Staphylococcus sp. RNAcentral's name for it is "partial 16S ribosomal RNA". It matches the Rfam family "Bacterial small subunit ribosomal RNA", at positions 524 to 785 of the family's 1533-position model. Lineage: Bacteria; Bacillati; Bacillota; Bacilli; Caryophanales; Staphylococcaceae. The record is from RNAcentral.